This 343-nucleotide ribosomal RNA is filed under the name uncultured soil bacterium. Its description in RNAcentral is "bacterial SSU rRNA". It matches the Rfam family "Bacterial small subunit ribosomal RNA", at positions 26 to 375 of the family's 1533-position model. The record is from RNAcentral.
AGAUUGAACGCUGGCGGCAUGCUUUACACAUGCAAGUCGAACGGCAGCGCGGGGCAACCUGGCGGCGAGUGGCGAACGGGUGAGUAAUAUAUCGGAACGUACCCAAGAGUGGGGGAUAACGUAGCGAAAGUUACGCUAAUACCGCAUACGAUCCAAGGAUGAAAGCAGGGGACCGCAAGGCCUUGUGCUCCUGGAGCGGCCGAGUAUCUGAUUAGCUAGUUGGUAGGUAAGGCCUACCAAGGCUACGAUCAGUAGCUGGUCUGAGAGGACGACCGGCCACACUGGAACUGGAGACACGGUCCAGACUCCGUACGGGAGCAGCAGUGGGAAUUUGGACAAGUGG